RNAcentral lists this ribosomal RNA (465 nucleotides) under uncultured bacterium. RNAcentral describes it as "bacterial SSU rRNA". It matches the Rfam family "Bacterial small subunit ribosomal RNA", at positions 24 to 518 of the family's 1533-position model. The record is from RNAcentral.
UCAGGAUUAACGCUGGCGGCGUGCCUAAUACAUGCAAGUCGAAUGGUAGCAAUACCAUGGCGAACGGGUGAGUAACACGUAGGUAACCUGUCUUUAAGCCGAGGAUAACCAUUGGAAACGAUGGAUAAUACUGGAUAGGACAUUUGAAGGCAUCUUUAGAUGUUUAAAGAUUUAUCACUUAGAGAGGGGCCUGCGGCGCAUUAGCUAGUUGGUGAGGUGAAGGCUUACCAAGGCGAUGAUGCGUAGCCGGACUGAGAGGUUGAACGGCCACAAUGGAACUGAGAACGGUCCAUACUCCUACGGGAGGCAGCAGUAGGGAAUUUCGGCAAUGGGCGGAAGCCUGACCGAGCAACGCCGCGUGAACGAAGAAGUAUUUCGGUAUGUAAAGUUCUUUUAUUAGGGACGAAAAGACAGAUUGACGGUACCUAAUGAAUAAGCUCCGGCUAACUACGUGCCAGCCGCCGC